UGAGAAACAGACUCAUGGACACUGGGAGGGGAGAAGCUGAGAAAUACCCAAGGACAUUUGCGGUAGGCUGAAAUUGAAAGACUUGAUCACUCUCAUUGUGAUUUUCAGCUAACUGGUUUCAUCUACUUUGAUCUGUGCUGUACAGCAGGAUUUUUAGAUGCCAGAUGCCUAAAACACAUAGGUUAAAAGCAGCUUCUGUGCCCUGUCUCCAAUCAAUUCUUUGGCCAGAGAAAUGGGAUUCACAUGUGGAUUUAAGCCAACUGAGUUCCACUUUAAAAUUUGAGGAGCUGAAGCUAUUGCUUGGUUUAAAAGACCAAAUUCCUAGAACCAAGGGAUCGCUGAUGUUACUUUCUUUGGAAUUUACCAUGGCUAAUAUGAAGAUCAUGUAUGCAGAUGUGAAUGUUGAUACUACGUUCUUGAAACAGGCCCCAUAGACCACUGCAGUUCAGUCAAGUGGAUCGAACUUUCCUGUGUUGUUUCUCUCACACAAAAUUUGAAAAGAUCAACGCAGAAAAUGUUAUGUCACUUGUGUUCACAAGAAUAGAUUCUAUUCUAUUUCUUUUCUAUUAUUACUGCUGCUCAGUGUGAUGAUUUAGUAUUGAGUGAAACCGUGUUAUUAUAUUGCUUCUUUUGUAAAUGAGAGUUAUUGUUGGAAUAGAUCGCACAUUUUCAUUUUAAAUACCAAAGUCCUGAGAUUUGUUGAUCUAACUAACAGAGUAGAAAUGAAUGUUUUAACUAUCUGAAUAUACUUUCAGCUCUAAAGUUGGUAUAGAUAACUAUAAUUCUAUCAGUUCUAUUAAGUUGAGAUUAAAAUAUUAUCUAGCAAAAAAAUGCUAUGUCUAAGGCAAUGAACUAAAAAAUAUCAGGUGAUUUUCUAUAACACACAGAUGAGCAUCUAUGUUAUUUUCAUUUCAGGUUGAUAGUCCAAUAUGGAAAAAUUCUCAUCUCACUAGCACCCAGGAUUUUAACAUUGUGUUAACUCUUGUCAUAAAUCAACUUCUUGUUUUCCUCUGAAGUAUUUUAUUAUGUAAUAUAUUAUUUAACUCAGACAGGAUUUUAAAAAUCUAUCAAAUUAAUAAAAUGCUGCUUUGACACUGAAUUACACUAGUCAACAUUGCCACAAUUUCCUAGCAUUUAAAGAGAAUAGCUCUGUAUCUCUGGCUAUUAUAAAGUUCUUGUUAUGUGGGUUGAGUUUGCAUUUUUAGAGUGGGAUCCCAAUCACCAUUAAGCCAAGUCUUCUUUUCACACCAUUAGUUGUUUAUUUUUCAAAAAUGCAUUUUUGAGUUUUGCUCACGUGAAACUGAAAUAUCUUCAGUAAAAUUAAAAACUCAAUUAACACAUGGAUAUUUUGGUUUCAUAGCCUAGGUGUCUGGAAAUACUGAAACUGCUGGGAUGUUCGGUUAUUUGGAGAGGGAGGUUUGUUUAGUUGCUUUCCUUUUAGAUGUUUUGCAUCAUAAAGAGAUAGCCAUAGAAAAUUCUUUUUCCUAAGUAAAGGAAUAUGCUUCUCUUCCAUGUUAUACAGAAUAAAGGUGACUAUAAUCAACAUACUUAAUGGGCAAUUAGUUAAUAAUAUUUUGUCUGUGUAAAAGCUGGCUUAGAAGCUACAGUCAACACAAUAAGAUAUAAUUCUUAGAAGGAAACUGUGAAAAAAGUUAAAAACAAAUGUGAAACUGUUGUCUUCUUAUGAGUACAGCAUAUUUUGGGGGAUUCAGGUGGUGUGCUGUUUGUGUAAGGCUGGAGAGGAUAAGCCAGUGGAUAAAAAGUAUACAUAAUUCCAAGAUGAUGAGACAGAGAGCUGAAAACAUCAUUAGAAUUCCCAGGUCCAGCUAUACUAUAUCCAAUUUUAGACUUUCCAAAUUUAUGAGCCAAUAAACUCCUUUUUAAUAAUUUAAAUUACUUUUGUUUGGUUUCUGUCACCAAAAAUCUAGAAUCAUAUGUCAGAUGUUGUAGAAAAGUAUCAAUGAUGCAUAGUUCUUUUUGUGGUUAUGAGAGAAUGAAAUAUAAUAUGAUGUUAUUUACAUUCAUGAUCUUUAGUGGCAAUAUUAUAAAGUUUGAUAAGAUGAUAAUAUUUCCUUAUAAAUUUAAAGCUACUGAGUUAGAAAACAGGUUAGAGCUGAUGACAGUUUCAUUGAAAACAAAAUAACUAACUUAAUGUUUUUACUCCUUUAAUUUAGUAAUUCCUUUUGUAAUUAUGGGGUACAGGAGGCUUGGCAACAGCAUAUUCUGCAAAGAAAAAGAUAAACGGACAGAAUUCAUUCUUAAGAUUUACUAUGAAUAUUUACCAGUCAACUUGAUGUCCCAAACCAUCUGCCUAUAUACACAGCUGAUCCUAAGUGCAGUAAGUUCCAUUUACUAACACAUGGAACUGUAUAUUAUACAUCUUGGGAAUGUUACUAUAAAAACAAGAAAUUAAACUUUAGGCGAUUAAACUAUCCAUAAAAUUAUUGAAUAAUCCCAGAUAUAUGGAGACUUUGUGGAAACACAACACAUUUUUAUAAUUCUCAAGCAAGAAAAAUGCAACCUGGUUGUAAGAAAGGCUGUAGAAUCCCUGGAACUUUUAAAGGAACAUUUACUUCUUGUUUAAUAUUUCUUGUAUAUAUCGGGCACAUGGAUUCAACAUUUUAGUCCAGUGCUUAUUUUCUGACACCUAUUAUUGAAUGAAAGUGUGCACUUGUACUUUAUUUAAAUGCCCACUAUAAAAGAGACACACUGCUUUGUAUCUUACACAUGGACCUUGAUUUCCAUACCCAACUUCAUCUCUAAACUAUCACUACCAUGGGGAAACCAUUUGGUUUAUUCCUAGCCCCAAAGAUAAGUUAAAGUGUGCUCAGAUGUUUGAGGUAUGAUAGGAAACUAUCUUUUGAAGUUCUCGCUCUUUGGACAAAUUUCAUCAUACCCAAUAAACAUGCUUAUCUGCAGUGGAUUGCAUGUGAUCUUUAUACUUGUUCUAUUCACUUUGUUUGCUUAUUUGUUUAAUCUUCUCUUUGCUUUUCAGCUCUUCACGUUCACAGUUUCAGAUGAUAGUUUCUUUUUUCUUACUGGUGGUGUUGCUCCUAGUUAUGGCUAAUAACAAACUUAACCAAUUAAUCUGUUUCUUUGCUGGUUUUUUCUUAUGACACUCACCAUGAGUUUUAUGACUACUGAUUAUUAUUAAGUACCUGGUUAACUUUGACUAUCUACUGGUUAUUAGACUUCAAAACAAUUAUUUGGAGAAUUAGCAUAAGGCAUAGGAUGAUGACACCCUUCCUCCAGAGAGGUUGUUAUGGAACUGAGUCCACCCAAAUUUCACAUGCUGAAAUUCUAACCCCCAUACCUCAGAAUGUGAACUUAUUUGGAAAUAGGGUCCUUGCAGAUGAAAUUAGUUAAGAUGAGGUCAUAACUGGAAGAGGGUGGGCUCUCACCCCAACAUGACUAGUGUCCUUAUAAAAAGUAGAAGUUUAGAUAUAAACAUACACAUAGGGAGAACAUCCUGAGAAAAUUGGGGGUAUGCUGCCAUAAUUAAGAAACAAUCAGAAGCUAAGACAAAGGCUUGGAAGAGAUACUUCCCUUGCCUACGGAGGGAGCAUAGCCUUGUAGACACCUUAAUCUUAGACUUCCAGCCUCCGGAAUUGUGAGACAAUAAGUUUUUGUUGUUUAAGCUACCCAGUUGGUGAUGGUUUGCUAUGGCAGCCCCAGAAAACAAAGAGAGAAGGUGUGAAAUUUGCUUCUGUGAAUCCUUUGGGUGAGGGAUAAAGAAACCUAUGCCCUUGGCCAGUGAGUACGCCCUAUGCUUAGAAGUUCAUUCACCUCUGAUCAUUUAAUUUCAGUUACCCUCCUUCCAACAACUUAGCAGGCAGAGACAGUCACUGACUUAGUAGUAAAGAAGACAGAGUUCAAGGGCAAAAGAACACAUCUAUGGUAAGGCCCUUCCACUCUAGACUUAGCCUUCCUCUUGUGUUGUGCGUACUGUCGCAUUUUACAUACCUGGGUUUGCAAUCUCAGGACAUUGGCCAGUGUCCCUUCACCCUACCCUAUUCUGCAUGAGUUAAAAUAUGCUUUCCUGAGAAGGCUGGGAUACAUUUAUAAUUAAUAGUAGCCCAAGUAGCCCAGUUACCUAAAGAGAGGUCAUUUGAAAGAAGAAUUCAAUACAUUUUUCCCAGCCUAGUAAAUAUUUUUAAAAAUAGCUCUUUAGUUAGAUAGCUAAACCUAAAUUUUCAGAGAGGCAGUAGAUAGGUUUAAAAGCAGAUUAAUAAAGGAAACAAACAUUUAACUAAAAUUAAAGACUUUAUUGGUUGAAACAUAUUAUUUACUAACUUAAUUUAAUUUUAGAUUUUAUUUAGUCUUGAGCAGAAUGUUUUUCCAGUUUUCUGAUUUUCCUUAGUCAGUAGGCUAGUUUCCUGGCUGUUUUUUCCUAACUCUCAUGCAUUUCUCAUAUCCAAUCAUAAUGUCCAUUUGCAUAAUUCUUAACCCCAGACCUUGAAUGAAAAAAGAAAUAACAAUAAUACCUUAUAUCUGUAUAAUGCCUUAGAGUACACAUGUCCAUUUAUAUAGCAGAAGCUCCCCUAAACCAUCUUCACUUACACAUUCUGAUCAGGUAAGACAAUUUUUCAUUUAUUCCAUGGCACGAUGAGGACCAGCUGCUAUUAGGCCACUUUUCAGCAAGCUGCUCACCUUUGUGCCCAACAGUGGAACAAUUUCUACAAAGUUGUGUUUGUCCUCAAAAGUGCAUAAGUGAGGAGUACUUGGUAUUGUCAUUGUGUCAUUUAAAUAAAUAUUAUUAGAUAAGCCUGUGGUACACGAGUACAAAAGGAAAGAGAAUUGUCUCUAUAAACCUAACAG
Microcebus murinus (gray mouse lemur) is the source of this 4818-nucleotide non-coding RNA. The record is from RefSeq and is a predicted model, not a curated record. NCBI's taxonomy places the organism in Eukaryota, Metazoa, Chordata, Mammalia, Primates, Cheirogaleidae.